GUUAUGCAAGUUGGUAGGGGAGCAUUCUAUUAUAGGGAGAAGCAUGACCGGAAGGACAUGUGGACGAGAUAGAAGAGAGAAUGCCGGAAUGAGUAGCGAGAAUUAUGUGAGAAUCAUAAUGGUCGAAAACCUAAGGUUUCUUGAGGAAGGUUCGUCCGCUCAAGGUAAGCCGGGAGCUAAGGCGAGGCCGAAAGGCGUAGUCGAUGCACAUACGGUAGAAAUUCCGUAGCCACCGAAAUUGUUAAGCACAGGGACGCAGGAACAUAAUCCAACCGCACCGAUGGUCGAGUGCGGCGAAAGGGAGCGAAAAUUAAGUAGCGAAGUGGAUGAUUGUACACUGACGAGAAAAGCUGUGUGGAUUGAUGAGGUGCCCGUACCGUAAACCGACACAGGUGGGUGAGGAGAGAAUCCUAAGACCAGCGGGAGAAGUGUUGUUAAGGAACUCGGCAAAUUGACCCCGUAACUUCGGGAAAAGGGGUGCCUGCUAGCGCAGGCCGCAGAGAAUAGGCCCAAGCGACUGUUUAGCAAAAACACAGGUCUCUGCUAAAUCGAAAGAUGAAGUAUAGGGGCUGACGCCUGCCCGGUGCCGGAAGGUUAAGAGGAGGACUUAGCGCAAGCGAAGGUCUGAAUUGAAGCCCCGGUAAACGGCGGCCGUAACAAUAACGGUCCUAAGGUAGCGAAAUUCCUUGUCAGGUAAGUUCUGACCCGCACGAAUGGCGUAACGAUUUGGGCAUUGUCUCAACAACACACCCGGUGAAAUUGUAGUACCGGUGAAGAUGCCGGUUACCCGCGACUAGACGGAAAGACCCCAUGGAGCUUUACUGUAACUUGAUAUUGGAUUUUGGUAUUGCAUGUACAGGAUAGGUGGGAGACUGAGAAGCACGCCAGUUUGUGUGGAGUCAAUGUUGGGAUACCACUCUUGUGAUACUGGAAUUCUAACCUGCGGCCGUGAAACCGGUCGGGGGACAAUGUCUGGUGGACAGUUUGACUGGGGCGGUCGCCUCCUAAAGAGUAACGGAGGCGUUCAAAGGUUAGCUCAGUACGGUCAGAAAUCGUACGAAGAGUGCAAACGCAAAAGCAAGCCUAACUGCGAGACGAACAGGUCGAGCAGUAACGAAAGUUGGAGUUAGUGAUCCGGCGGUAAGAGAGUGGAAUUGCCGUCGCUCAACGGAUAAAAGCUACCCUGGGGAUAACAGGCUGAUCUCCCCCAAGAGUCCAUAUCGACGGGGAGGUUUGGCACCUCGAUGUCGGCUCAUCGCAUCCUGGAGCUGGAGUCGGUUCCAAGGGUUGGGCUGUUCGCCCAUUAAAGCGGUACGCGAGCUGGGUUCAGAACGUCGCGAGACAGUUCGGUCCCUAUCUGUCGCGGGCGCAGGAAAUUUGAAGGGAGCUGUCCUUAGUACGAGAGGACCGGGAUGGACGUACCACUGGUGUACCAGUUGUCUUGCCAAAGGCACGGCUGGGUAGCUAAGUACGGAAGGAAUAAACGCUGAAGGCAUCUAAGCGUGAAGUCCCCCCUAAGAUAAGAUUUCCCAUUCUUUAAAAGAAGUAAGACCCCACGUAGACUAUGUGGUUGAUAGGUCGGAGGUGUAAGUGUGGUAACACAUUAAGCUGACCGAUACUAAUAGGUCGAGGGCUUGAC
This 1639-nucleotide ribosomal RNA is filed under the name metagenome. Its description in RNAcentral is "bacterial LSU rRNA". It matches the Rfam family "Bacterial large subunit ribosomal RNA", at positions 1215 to 2925 of the family's 2925-position model. The record is from RNAcentral.